Molecule: ribosomal RNA, 269 nt
Filed under: Hemimycena sp. 1 TM02 65
Lineage: Eukaryota; Fungi; Basidiomycota; Agaricomycetes; Agaricales; Mycenaceae
Description: partial large subunit ribosomal RNA
Rfam family: Eukaryotic large subunit ribosomal RNA
Source: RNAcentral
ACGCUUGAAGUCAGUCGCGUUGGCUAGGGAUCAAUCUUGCUCUUUUGCUUGAUGUACUUCCUAGUCGAUGGGUCAACAUCAGUUUUGAUUGUUGGAUAAAGAUUAGGGGAAUGUGGCAUCUUCGGAUGUGUUAUAGCCCUUGGUUGUAUACAACAGUUGGGACUGAGGAACUCAGCACGCCGCAAGGCCGGGUUUUUAACCACGUACGUGCUUAGGAUGUUGGCAUAAUGGCUUUAAUCGACCCGUCUUGAAACACGGACCAAGGAGUC